UGCAGCGAACAUUCUAGAUGUUUGAGAAGAGUAGAAGACUAGAACGUGCCGUGUGCGCGACUUCCCGUACAUUAGCCACUUAUCACUUAUGAUAAGAUUAAAUUAUGUCGAGCUUAUAAUAUUUAUUUGUGAAAAUUAUCGGGCCGAUACUAUGAAGUAUAAACUAUUAUAUUAUUUUUGGAGGAUCAUAAUAACUAAAGAGAAUCGAUUCCUCGUGGUAAUGCAAGUAAAGGAUCUCAAAAAUAUUAUAAGGUAAU
This is a long non-coding RNA of Myzus persicae (green peach aphid), 257 nucleotides long. RefSeq lists it as uncharacterized. Lineage: Eukaryota; Metazoa; Arthropoda; Insecta; Hemiptera; Aphididae. The record is from RefSeq and is a predicted model, not a curated record. The transcript has 2 exons.